This 71-nucleotide transfer RNA is filed under the name Schistometopum thomense. Its description in RNAcentral is "tRNA-Gly". It matches the Rfam family "tRNA". From Rfam's summary of the family: Transfer RNA (tRNA) molecules are approximately 80 nucleotides in length. Their secondary structure includes four short double-helical elements and three loops (D, anti-codon, and T loops). The record is from RNAcentral. Lineage: Eukaryota; Metazoa; Chordata; Amphibia; Gymnophiona; Dermophiidae.
GUUUCCUUAGUAUAAUCUAAAUACUAAUGACUUCCAAUCAUUUAACCCAAGUUUAAUUCUUGGAGAAAACA